CAUCAGCCCACGGAGCCCUGGGGGCGGAAGGGAGGUCAUGGGCCUCGGCCCUUUUCUGCCAAAGCAGCCGAUCCCAGUGGGUUCAACUGGAGGAGGCAGAACCUCAGGGAGGACGGCGGGGCAGAGCUUCCUGCAGGACUGAGCCUUUCAUGGGGAGCCUAGAGCCUGUUCCUCCCUCCAGCCCUCCCUUCUUGGCCCUGCCUUGGAUCAGAGCCCACCCAGUGAUCUCCUUUCUGGGUGCUCCAGGGGACUUGAUUCAGGGGUGAAGGGACUUUACCUGUAGGCAGGAGUUCCAGCACGAGUUUGGGAUACGCGAUGUCAGAACAGCCUGAGGGGUUGCUGCAGAUCUUCCGGCAGAUCUCUGGAUCUGCACAAGCCACUUGAUCUACGGAGGAAACACAGGCCCAGAGCUGUGUUCUCACCUGGGAAGAGGAUGCGGCUAACCAUCCCAGGGAACACCAUUAUGAAGAGGGGCAGCACCUUCAGCUUUGGAUUUGUCGUUCACAUUCACAAGAGCAAGAAAUAAAAUAGCAUGUAGAGCAAUGGAAAGGAGGAAGUAGUCAAGGAAGCAGAGAAAAUGCAAAUGAGAGAAGAGGUGGAGGAAGAAAAAAGUACUGACUUCAGCCACCCUAAGGAAAGAAGCAAAGAGAAGGUAAAAGCUGGCUGAGGCCACUGUCCUGUACCUGAUCCGUGCAC
Rhinopithecus roxellana (golden snub-nosed monkey) is the source of this 696-nucleotide long non-coding RNA. RefSeq lists it as uncharacterized. The transcript is spliced from 3 exons. The record is from RefSeq and is a predicted model, not a curated record. Lineage: Eukaryota; Metazoa; Chordata; Mammalia; Primates; Cercopithecidae.